GGGCGGAGCGGAGCGGCGGAAGGUGAGCGGGCGGGACGGGUGCUGAGCCUCUACCGGGCUGGGAAGGCGGCAGUGCCGGCUGCGAGGAGCCGGGAGCAGGCCCGGGAGCGACUCCACUCGUCUGGGCUCGCUCUCGGCAGUGUCCGGGCCUGGGCGUCAGGUGCGGACGCCGGUGCCUGCCUUGCUCGGACUUUGGAAUCGACCCCGGACUAACGCGCCGCAGCCCGGCCUCUCCGCAGCCGGAGCCCCGCGGCGGUGCGGUGGGAUGCGCGCGCUGCCCAGCCCGGACGCGCCCCCGAUGGAGCGGCUGCUGCCCGGGCCCCCGGACGCGGCGCCGCCCGCGCGCAGGAGCGCGGUGGAGAGGCUGGCGGCCGACCGCGCCAAGUACGUGCGGGCUCUGCCGGCGACGACGGCCCGGGGCCCGGCCUCCGAGGGCAGCAGCCCCGCGGUGGGCGAAGGACAGGCGGUCGACCCGCGGCCCCCGGCCUGCGCCCCCGGCGCCGUGGCGCGCAGGGCGAUAGCGCGGAAGCCGCUGCGGCCGGACUCGCUGGUCAUGUACCGGCAGAAGUGCGAGUUCGCGCGCGGGCCGGGCGCCGACGGCCUCCAGGGCGGCCUGGCGAAGAAGCUCCUCCCGGGGCCGCGUAAGGACAGGACGCCGACGCCCCCGGAGACGUUCCCGGCGGGAGAGAAGGGCAGGGCCGCGGGCGCGGGGGUGACGCCAACGAAGCCGGGCUCUGCCGCGGCCCCCGCACGUCCCGCGCGCCCCAGCGUCCCGGCCGCUCCCCCGACGGCGCGCCCCAGCGUCCCGGCCGCUCCCCCGGCCGCACCCCUGACCUCCCCCGCGCGCCCCAGCGCCCCGGCCGCGUCGGGGACUCGCGACGUGCAGGCGGCCAGGCGCAGGGGUCUGCAGCGCUCGCAGUCGGACCUCAGCUCCCGCUACUCCAUGUCCGCUGCCGAGUUCGACACCUUCUUCCAGUUCUGCGGGCUGGAGCCCGAAGUGGUGGAGGCACUCGGGCGGGAGAACUUCUCCGCGGGGUCGGACCAGGGCGCCCUCCGGGUCCGCAGCGUUAGCGUCGCCACCUCCGAGGGCGGCUUCUCGCGGCGCAGCUGCGGCGACGAGGGGCUGCAGGAGGAGGAGCUGACGGAGCAGGUGCCCAGCGGCCCCUCGGUCGUGGAGAGGAACGCGCGCAUCAUCAAGUGGCUGUACACCUGCAGGAAGGCCGCGGAGACGCCAGCGCCACAGCGGCAGGGCCCGCGUGACCUCCGCGCCGAGGCCGGGACCCCUAGGAGUAAAGAACUCUACUGAAGAAGCUUCCAGAACUCCCGAAGGUUGGGGAUUCUGAGGAGAAGAUGGGUCCCUGGAACUUAGAAAUCAAGAAUUAGCCGAGUGACACAGCAUAAACCCCUGGAGAUGCUUCCUUGUUUGAGGUGGACCCACUCUGGCCUCCAGAGUAAACACUUUCAGGGCAUCUUUCUGACUUGUUUGCUGGGAGGCAUUUUAACAAUGUCUCAGUUUACUUAAAAAGCCAAAAGAGUGUGAAAACCAAGCCUGCCAUACUGCUUUCAGUUCUCUGAAUCCCAAGUUCUGGAACCCAAGUCGGUGUCUCUGCCCCGGGGGCUCACACCUGAUGCACACGUCUCAGCAUCCUGCGGUGUGUGCACCAGGCAUUGGUGGCUGCUUUAAUGACUCAGCAUGUUUCCAGUCCCUGGAGGGCUCCUCUGUCAUUCCCCUUCACGCCACUCCCACUGGGGGGCAGACAAGCACAAAUGCCAUGAAAAGAUGAGUGAGAGCUGAAAUACGCUGAAGUACUCUUCUUGUGCAGGACCAUUUUGGAGAGGCAGGUCCCAUCACCAGCUUUCCUGUUCCUAGCUGUGCGGAAUCUCCCGGAAGGAGCCAGGGUCUGGGCUCCGCAGCUCAGGCCCCGCCCCGCCGUGUGUCAUCCGUGGUUGGGAGGUGGCACUGGCUCAGCUCUGUGCAAAGGGCACGUUUGCCAGGAGGGGCAGCCUCCGGGUGGCUGGGAGUCAAGGGUCAGAUCCUUGUUAAUACGGAGUUGGUGUGACCAGAUGCUGAGCCGGCUCACAGCACCCGGAGUAAAGAAAUAGCCUUCAGGUCAGACCCUGUGAGAGAAAUCUGAGUCCAUGACGACGAAAAAACUUUCACCUGACAAGUCUUUGAGAGCUCUCGUUGUUUUAUCAAAAUGCCUCUCUUCACGAAGAAGAUUAUGGGAGAGAAGAAUAUGGAGGGGAGAGAAAUGAGUUUUUCAAUGGUGGUGAGGUGCCAAAGAGAGACUGUCCUUGUGGGCAUCUUUUGGGAUGGGCAGAGACCCACUCAGCAAGAUGGUAAGGCAGGAAAUGAUGUCAGAAACCCCGUGGCUCCCCAACCAAAGCCCUGGAGUCUUGAGGAAGAAGAACAAAACUGGAGGUAUUACACUCCCUGAUAUCCAACUAUACUGACAAACUCUCAAAAUCCAAACAGCCAAACACCGGUCCAAAAAGCAGACAGUGGGCCAAUGGAACAGAGCAGAGAGCCCAGAGAUAAACCACACCCACACAGUCAAUUAGUCUGAGACAGAAACAGCAGGAGCCCACAGUGGGUUAAAGACAGGCCCCUCCAUAAACAGUGUCGGGAAAACUGGAGCAGGUAUAUGUAAACGAAAUGAGGCUAAUAACUUUCUCACACUAUGCACAAAAAUAAACUCAGAAUGGAUUGAGGGACUGAGGUAUGGAGACACAGUGCAGCUGCUUGGGUUGAAACCUAAUGUGUCAGAGAAAGAAGAAUUUGAACCCAAAUCUGCCUGGUCCCAAAGGCCACUCUGUCUCUCUCUGCACAGACUGGUUUUCCAGAAGUGAAUGCCACCCAGCACAUGGAAGGAUUUACUAACCUACCAAGUGCACAGGCCGAUUCAAUGGGUCAGAACCUCCACAGAUUUGCAUAUGACUGCUCAGUGCCCCUGUGACCCCCUGCUGGAUGACCCAGGCCAGGUCAGGCUGCCUGAGGGUGCUGACGCUGCCCCAACAUCCACACCAGUAAACCUCAGAGCAGGAAAUGCUCACGUUACUUGAAAGGCUUUCAUGUUUAGGUUUCUGUAGAUAAUUUUAUAUAAAAUGACAUGUGUUUAAAAAAUGAAAAUAAAGAGAAAAUAAGAGGGGAACAAACAAGAUUUGUCAGAGGAGCCCCGAGCAGUACUGAGUAGGCUCUGGGGCAGGCUACUGAGCCGGUGAGGCCAGUGCACCUCCAGGGUGCUGGGCCCCAGGUGAGCACAGCCCCCAGGUGAGCAUGGACCCCAGGUGAGCAAAGCCCCCAGGUGAGCAAGGACCUCAGGGCUGGAGAACCUCGGACGUUCCCCAUCACCUCAGGGACAUCUGGCAGAAUACGAUCUUUCUGUGGCUCACCAUUAACUUUAGGUGAAUGGGAAGUGGCCAUGGUUAAAAAGGACAGAACAUCUUUAGAAAGUCUGAUGCAUUUGUCAAUUUGUAAUUUUUCUCAACAAUAGUUAACAAAAGGCCAAGAUGU
Pipistrellus kuhlii (Kuhl's pipistrelle) is the source of this 3514-nucleotide RNA transcript. It is a transcript of the gene named family with sequence similarity 110 member C, with no coding region annotated. The record is from RefSeq and is a predicted model, not a curated record. The transcript has 4 exons. Lineage: Eukaryota; Metazoa; Chordata; Mammalia; Chiroptera; Vespertilionidae.